UAGGGAAUUUUCGUCAAUGGGGGAAACCCUGAACGAGCAAUGCCGCGUGAGUGAAGAAGGUUUUCGGAUCGUAAAGCUCUGUUGUAAGUGAAGAAUGGCCAGUAUAGGAAAUGAUAUUGGAGUGACGGUAACUUACCAGAAAGCCACGGCUAACUCCGUGCCAGCAGCCGCGGUAAUACGGGGGGUGCAAGCGUUGUCCGGAAUCAUUGGGCGUGAAGCGUUCGUAGGCGGUAUGUCAAGUCUGGUGUUAAAGCCCGAGGCUCAACCUCGGUUCGGCAUUGGAUACUGGCAAACUAGAAUGUGGUAGAGGUAAAGGGAAUUCCUGGUGUAGCGGUGAAAUGCGUAGAUAUCAGGAGGAACAUCGGUGGCGAAAGCGCUUUACUGGACCAUUAUUGACGCUGAGGAACGAAAGCCAGGGGAGCAAAUG
RNAcentral lists this ribosomal RNA (427 nucleotides) under uncultured bacterium. RNAcentral's name for it is "bacterial SSU rRNA". It matches the Rfam family "Bacterial small subunit ribosomal RNA", at positions 355 to 774 of the family's 1533-position model. The record is from RNAcentral.